GUCGUCAGCUCGUGUCGUGAGAUGUUGGGUUAAGUCCCGCAACGAGCGCAACCCUCGUCCUUAGUUGCCAUCAUUUAGUUGGGCACUUUAAGGAAACUGCCGGUGAUAAGCCGGAGGAAGGUGGGGAUGACGUCAAGUCCUCAUGGCCCUUACAGGCUGGGCUACACACGUGCUACAAUGGCGUUGACAGUGGGCAGCUAGACCGCGAGGUCAUGCUAAUCUCUAAAAGACGUCUCAGUUCGGAUUGUUCUCUGCAACUCGAGAGCAUGAAGGCGGAAUCGCUAGUAAUCGCGGAUCAGCAUGCCGCGGUGAAUACGUUCCCGGGA
This 326-nucleotide ribosomal RNA is filed under the name uncultured bacterium. RNAcentral describes it as "bacterial SSU rRNA". It matches the Rfam family "Bacterial small subunit ribosomal RNA", at positions 1051 to 1378 of the family's 1533-position model. RNAcentral also lists the same sequence under 1 other name. The record is from RNAcentral.